RNAcentral lists this ribosomal RNA (469 nucleotides) under uncultured bacterium. RNAcentral describes it as "partial 16S ribosomal RNA". It matches the Rfam family "Bacterial small subunit ribosomal RNA", at positions 28 to 507 of the family's 1533-position model. The record is from RNAcentral.
GACGAACGCUGGCGGCGUGCUUAACACAUGCAAGUCGAACGGUGAAGCGAGUGCUUGCACUCGUGGAUCAGUGGCGAACGGGUGAGUAACGCGUGAGUAACCUGCCCAUCACUCUGGGAUAAGCACUGGAAACGGUGUCUAAUACUGGAUACGACCAACCCUUGCAUGGGGUGUUGGUGGAAAGAUUUAUCGGUGAUGGAUGGACUCGCGGCCUAUCAGCUUGUUGGCGGGGUAAUGGCCCACCAAGGCGACGACGGGUAGCCGGCCUGAGAGGGUGACCGGCCACACUGGGACUGAGACACGGCCCAGACUCCUACGGGAGGCAGCAGUGGGGAAUAUUGCACAAUGGGCGAAAGCCUAAUGCAGCGACGCCGCGUGAGGGAUGACGGCCUUCGGGUUGUAAACCUCUUUCAGCAGGGAAGAAGCGAAAGUGACGGUACCUGCAGAAGAAGCACCGGCUAACUACGUG